AAGAUGGACCACGAUUUCCUUACACACGGUAUCCCCCAUCAACCUGCCACCUUGGAAUCUCAAUUUAUUCCGUUCUUUCCAUAUUGUCGGCACCAGAAUCCCAAACAGGCAUGCUGUGAUUUCUGCUAAGCUAUUUCUCCUCUUCGCCAGCUUACUAAUCCACGCACACUCCUCCUGCCAGUCAGCAAUGAUACGCUUAUGACCCAACCAGUUAAGGAGGCGAUUCCAGAGCUCUUUUGUCUUCGAACAUUCAAUAAACAAAUGCUCAAAGGUCUCCUGAUCUACACCACAGAAUAUGCAUUCUUGCGGAACCACUAUAUUAAACUUUUGGAGUCGCUCCACAGUUGCGAGUCGCUUAUGUAAAGCCAGCCAUAAUAUGAACUUGUACCUGGGAUGGAGUUGAGGUUGUAAUAUGAUUGAUUU
This 423-nucleotide long non-coding RNA is filed under the name Nicotiana benthamiana. Its description in RNAcentral is "long non-coding RNA (NBEN_LNC004045)". Lineage: Eukaryota; Viridiplantae; Streptophyta; Magnoliopsida; Solanales; Solanaceae. The record is from RNAcentral.